CCUAGCAACCAGAGGAGGGGCGGGAACUUGAGCAGUACUGGCAGCUCGCUGACUGGUGAAAAGCAGUGGUCGGUUCCGCCCUGAGGGUCUCCACAAGGCUGCAGAGAUCGGGGCUUCUCCUUUGCUCCCCAUCCUCGAGCAGACGCCAGCUUGGUUAAUGACGGGUUUACUUGGCCUUUUCAUAAUUGGGUCUGAUGAACGACAUCAAUCGGAAUCACAUCGGCUCUUCCUGUCAUCCCUGGCUUCAGAUCAUCCACCGGAAGUGCUGCUGCAGCUGCUGAGGACGCUCGGGGCAGUGCCGCUGCCCUGCAGCCCUGUAGACCUGAGCAGGACCUGCGCCCUCCGGGGGCCUGGCAGGAGGAUGAGGCAGUCUGAGUUCAGAACCGCCGCCCUGCACGUGGGGAGGGUGCUGCACAGGGUCCUCACCCUCAAAGCUUUGUUUUCUCAGCUGUGAUAAGACUUAGAAACCAGUGCCAUCAUCGGGGUUGCUGUGAGAAAAAGGAAUUCAUAUAAAAAUGGUAGGAACUGUGCUUGACUAUGUAAGGGCUCAGUAAAUGUUAUUUGGGGGUUUUUGUUGUUGUUUUUAUAAAUUUUAUUUUAUUUUAUCUCAUUCCCCCCCUCAAGCCCUAUCCCCUCCCUAUGUACAAAAGUUUUGUUUCCAUUUUUUUUCUUCUAUUUUCACUUUUUUUCUUGUCUCUUCCUUUCUCCCUCUCUCCUCCCUUGUUCCCCUUCCCAUUUGAACACUUUCUUCCCAUUUCCCAACAUACACUAUAGAUCUCAGUCCUUAUUUCCACAGUCAGUUUCUCACACCAGAGAAACAGUGUGAUAUUUAAACAUAUGUGUUUGAUUUAUUUCACUUAAGAGUAUGGUCUCAAGGUCCAUCCAUUUAGUCAUAAAUGUCUGAAGAUCAUCCUUCUUUAUGACAGAAUAGUACUCCAUUGUAUAAAAAACCACAUCUUCUUUAUCCACUCAUCAGUUGAUGGGCAUUUGGGCUGUUUCCAAGAUUUAGCUAUUACAAAUUGUGCUGUUAUAAACAUGGAUCCACAUAUACUGAUGUGGCAUGAUGUUUUUAAUUCAGGAAGAUACCAAGAAGAGGUAUAGCUGGGUCAAAAGUAACUUCUAGUUUUAGUUCUUUGAGAAAUCUCCACAUUGAUUUCCACAGUGGUUGCAGUCUACACUCCCACCAGCAGUGGAGAAGGGUUCCUUUUUACCCACAGCCCUGCCAGCAUUUGUUAUUGGUUGAUUUCUUGAUAGCAGCCAUUCUUUCUGGGGUGAGGUGGAAUCUCAGCGUUGUUUUAAUUUGCGUCUUUUGAAUGACAGUGAUGUUGAACAUUUUUUCAUGUAUUUAUUUGCCGUUUCUAAUUCUUCAUCUGAGAAGUGUCUUUUUAUUUUAGAUGCCCAUUUUUGCAUUGGGUCUUUAAAUUUGAG
RNAcentral lists this long non-coding RNA (1428 nucleotides) under Heterocephalus glaber (naked mole-rat). RNAcentral describes it as "lncRNA (ENSHGLG00000033059.1)". The record is from RNAcentral. Lineage: Eukaryota; Metazoa; Chordata; Mammalia; Rodentia; Bathyergidae.